This 450-nucleotide ribosomal RNA is filed under the name uncultured bacterium. RNAcentral describes it as "partial 16S ribosomal RNA". It matches the Rfam family "Bacterial small subunit ribosomal RNA", at positions 338 to 795 of the family's 1533-position model. The record is from RNAcentral.
CCUACGGGUGGCUGCAGUGGGGAAUUUUGGACAAUGGGCGCAAGCCUGAUCCAGCCAUGCCGCGUGUGUGAAGAAGGCCUUCGGGUUGUAAAGCACUUUCGGCCGGAACGAAAUCGCGCGGGCGAACAUCCCGCGUGGAUGACGGUACCGGAAGAAGAAGCACCGGCUAACUACGUGCCAGCAGCCGCGGUAAUACGUAGGGUGCGAGCGUUAAUCGGAAUUACUGGGCGUAAAGGGUGAUGAGGCGGGUGAAAUCCCCGGGCUUAACCUGGGAAUGGCGCUUGAAACUACGGGGCUGGAGUAUGGCAGAGGGAGGUGGAAUUCCACGUGUAGCGGUGAAAUGCGUAGAGAUGUGGAGGAACACCGAUGGCGAAGGCAGCCUCCUGGGCCAAUACUGACGCUCAUGCACGAAAGCGUGGGGAGCAAACAGGAUUAGAUACCCGUGUAGUC